This is an RNA transcript of Callorhinchus milii (elephant shark), 3067 nucleotides long. It is a transcript of the gene named bromodomain containing 9, with no coding region annotated. The record is from RefSeq and is a predicted model, not a curated record. The transcript is spliced from 17 exons. NCBI's taxonomy places the organism in Eukaryota, Metazoa, Chordata, Chondrichthyes, Chimaeriformes, Callorhinchidae.
CCUCCCUCCUCCCGUGGUCUCAGGACGACGUCUGGGCGGCCGUUGUCAGCAAUGGGCAAGAAACACAAGAAGCACAAGAGCGAGUGGCGCUCGUACGACGAUUUCACUGAUAAACCAACUGAAAAGCCACUUAAGCUAGUACUGAAGGUGGGAGGAAGUGAAGUCACUGAGCUCUCGGGCUCAGGACAUGAUUCUAGUUAUUACGAUGAUCGAUCAGACCAUGACAGGGAGCGACACAAGGAAAAGAAAAAGAAGAAGAAAAAGAAGUCUGAGAAAGAAAAAGAUAAACAUAUUUCAGAUGAAGACCGUCGGAGGAGGAAGGAAGAGAAGAAACGAAAGCGUGAAAAGGAACAUGUCGACAGCGAAGCAGAUGCUGAUGAAUUUGACCCAGGAAAAAGGGUGGAAGUUGAGCCUCCUACAGAUCGGCCAGUCAGAUCAUGUAGAACAAAAGAACACGAAAAUGAGAACACUCCACUGCAGCAAUUGUUGGAGCAUUUUUUGCGUCAGUUACAGAGGAAAGACCCUCAUGGAUUCUUUGCAUUUCCUGUGACGGAUAGCAUUGCACCUGGCUAUUCAAUGAUAAUAAAACAUCCAAUGGAUUUCAGCACCAUGAAGGAUAAAAUCUUGACAAAUGAUUACAAUUCCAUCACAGAAUUCAAGGCUGAUUUCAAACUAAUGUGCGAUAAUGCAAUGACUUACAAUCGACCCGAAACCGUAUACUACAAGGCAGCGAAGAAAUUGCUUCACACCGGAUUUAAGAUGAUGAGUAAAGAGCGCCUGUUAGCUUUGAAGCGCAGCAUGACAUUCAUGCAGGAGAUCGAUUUUUCUCAGCAGGCAGCACUGUUAGGUGAUGAGGAUACAGGACAAGAAGAAACUGUUGCAGAAGUUACUGUGGUGCCCGUUGAAACUACUACCAAGAAAUCCAAGAAGCAGAGUAAAGAAGUCAUCAGUUAUUUGUAUGAGCCAGAAGGGACCGCAUGCAGUUCGACAGACAGUACAGCGGAGGAACAUGUGCUAGCUUUGGUGGAACAUGCAGCUGAUGAAGCUCGUGAUCGGAUCAGUAGACACGCGCCUAACAGCAAGAUUGGCUACCUUAAAAAGGAAGGAGAUGGUGCUCUGCUGUUUGCUGUUGUAAACCAAUCUGAUCCAGACACUGAAGCUGUGCAAAUUGAUCACAUCAAAAGAAUGCAUGUUCACAAUUCAAUGCUGGUGGUUGCAGAGGAAGAGAUCCACCAAGUGGAUCUGAGUUCCCUUACAACUAAGCUUCAACCAGGCAUUAAUACCAUGGGAUUUAAAGAUGACCGGAGAAACAAAGCGUUAUCAGUUACCUACUUGAACUGUGUGUAUACAGCACAGUCCAUACAAAACAACACCGUCUUUCCCAACCUUACUCCAGAGGAAACAGAGCUAUUGUAUUCUACAUAUGGAGAAGAGACUGGGGUACAGUGCGCCUUAAGUUUACAAGAGUUUGUUAAAGACUGUGGAGGCUCCACAAAGAAAAUGGUAGACGACUUGUUGAAUCAGAUGACAGGUGGUGAACAUUGCAAAGCAGUCUAUCAUUUGGCACAGAAAAGAAAUAUUGAACAGAAAGCAAGUAAAGACAUCAAAUUGAGUCUCGACGAAGUGCAGAUCCCAGCAGUCUUCAUAAAAGAAGAACCUAAAAUGCAGCCCACUUGUCCUGAAACGUCUAAACCAAUCGUGGUUGGAGGGGCAAGUGGCAGUACUGGAGAGAACCAACCCCCUGUCCUAGAUUUCAUGCCUUUGAAAUCUUACUCUGACGUUUCCUUGGAUAUUUCUCUAUUGACUUCAUUAGAUUUGUGUUGGAACACACUACUUACUGACUUGCUUUUACUUUUGAACCGGGAAUGAUUGGAGCAAGUUGUAAAAAAAAAGUGUUACGCUGCUUAUGGUGGAGAAAAAAUAUAAAGAAGUGUGUACAGACGGGGCAGAGGCUGUGGCUGUUCCAGACAAGUUUGGAGUUGGAAUUUCCACAGAGUUUGAUGCAGAAGCGGAAGGAUAAGCUGCUGGUGUUUACUCAAAAGUUCAAAAGGGGAAAAAAAAAGUCUUCAACUCUGCUUUCUUCACAUGGGUCAAAAACAAACAUACUGAAGGUACUAUGUUCCCACCUAGUCCAAUAUCUGGCCUUAUUCUGCUGGAAAAUCUGUGAGGUUUGUGAAAGAGUUUGAGGAUAACGGUUUUCAUUGGAGUGUGGGGUAGUUAAUACAACAAAACAAAGGAGGGUUGUUUUCAUCUAUACUAUGGGCAAAACAUUCCAUGCCCAAUUUGCAAAAUGCAUUUAAAAGUGAUUGUAUUUUAUUCUGUAUUCCUGUGCAUUUUGUUUACUAAAUUGCAUUAAUAUUUGGUAAUCUGAACUGCUAAUCAUCUGGACAGAAAACAGUGGAUACAAUGGAACAGAGUCAUUUGGAUAAUCGGCGAUAUGGUGCAUAUAACAGGACAAUUCCUAUCCUAUGUUUAAAGGCAAAUAUAUCAUUUGCAUAUAUUCUGAUUACAUAUGCAAAUAUUUUAUUUUGUGUUAUAUUUACUAUACUAUAUUUUUCUAUAAUCUGCUACAAAAUAUUAAUAGAAUAUCUUUUUAUAUCUUAUGUAACAUCUGGCAGUAUAUUUUAAGCAGUAAUUCAAUCUUGUGUUUUAUUGUUUUUAUGAGCUCUACCUUCCUUAUGGUUUGAUGUAACUGAACUACGCUCUUAAUCAAUGGUUUCAAGCUUGCUACCAAUCAUUUCAUCUCUAUAAUUGAGAUGUGUUUUUUGUCAAACUCAUCCUCAGUGUUAGAAUUGUAUUAAGGAUUAUAUGUUUUGAGGAGUUAAUGCAAAAGUGUUGUGGAGAAAGUGUUAACUUUUUUUUUCCUCUCCUCUUCUGAGUCACUUACAUCGACACUUCCUCAAGCAGCUGGUUGAGUGAGCGAAUAUGGUUCAGACUCCACUGCAACAUCUCAACUCCUGCAGAUCCAUUGAUAAUUGCUGUCAUUUGAACAUUUCCACCUGGGGAAAUCGGUGAAGAAGGAGCCAGAUCAUGAUGAUAACCAGAGGAAUCUAGAUGAGACUACAAA